RNAcentral lists this ribosomal RNA (492 nucleotides) under uncultured bacterium. RNAcentral's name for it is "partial 16S ribosomal RNA". It matches the Rfam family "Bacterial small subunit ribosomal RNA", at positions 28 to 507 of the family's 1533-position model. The record is from RNAcentral.
GACGAACGCUGGCGGCGUGCUUAACACAUGCAAGUGGAGCGACGAACCAGGGCUUGCCCUGGGGCAGAGCCGCGAACGGGUGAGUAACACGUGGGUAACGUGCCCCGAUGACUGGGACAACCCGGGGAAACCCGGGCUAAUACCGGAUGUGCCCCCUCACAUCAGUGAGGUGUGUAAAGGAAGCUUCGGCCUCCGCAUCGGGAUCGGCCCGCGGCCCAUUAGCUUGUUGGUGAGGUAACGGCUCACCAAGGCUGCGAUGGGUAGCUGGUCUGAGAGGACGAUCAGCCACACUGGGACUGAGACACGGCCCAGACUCCUACGGGAGGCAGCAGUGGGGAAUCUCGCGCAAUGCGCGAAAGCGUGACGCAGCAACGCCGCGUGGGGGAAGACGGCCUUCGGGUUGUAAACCCCUUUCAGUUGGGACGAAGGUCGGGCGGUUAACAGCCGUUCCGGCUGACGGUACCUUCACAAGAAGCCCCGGCUAACUACGUG